ACGGAGGGUCCAAGCGUUAUCCGGAAUUACUGGGCGUAAAGAGUUGCGUAGGCGGUUAAGUAAGUAAUGUGUGAAACUGUGUGGCUCAACCAUGCACCCAUACGUUAAACUGCUUUGACUAGAGAAUGGAAGAGGUUGCUAGAAUUCCUAGUGUAGGGGUGAAAUCCGUAGAUAUUAGGAGGUAUACCGAUGGCGUAGGCAGGCAACUGGUCCAUUUCUGACGCUCAUGCACGAAAGCGUGGGGAGCGAUCGGGA
Molecule: ribosomal RNA, 255 nt
Filed under: uncultured prokaryote
Description: partial 16S ribosomal RNA
Rfam family: Bacterial small subunit ribosomal RNA
Source: RNAcentral